This 270-nucleotide ribosomal RNA is filed under the name Ruficoccus sp. RNAcentral describes it as "partial 16S ribosomal RNA". It matches the Rfam family "Bacterial small subunit ribosomal RNA", at positions 524 to 793 of the family's 1533-position model. The record is from RNAcentral. Lineage: Bacteria; Pseudomonadati; Verrucomicrobiota; Opitutia; Puniceicoccales; Cerasicoccaceae.
UACGGAGACCUCGAGCGUUACUCGGAUUUACUGGGCGUAAAGGGUGAGCAGGCGGCCAAGUGUGUCAGGUGUGAAAUCCCGGGGCUUAACCCCGGAACUGCGCCUGAAACUACUUGGCUAGAGUCUCGGAGAGGAGAGUGGAAUUCUAGGUGUAGCGGUGAAAUGCGUAGAUAUCUAGAGGAACACCAGUGGCGAAGGCGACUGUCUGGACGAGUACUGACGCUCAAUCACGAAAGCGUGGGUAGCGAAAGGGAUUAGAAACCCUGGUAG